GGGAACGCCGCUCCAGCAGAUGUGACAUAGACUGGAAGUGAUGGACCCAGACAACAAUCAGAACCAAAGCACCAGAUGAGCCACCUCAGCCACGUGAGCCAUGCCAGCCACCCUACCUGUGACCCCAUCUGUGGCCCCAGUUAUCAUGGAGUAGAGAAAGAAAGAGCAAGAGCAGGCAGGAGGGCAAGACGACAGCAAGAGAACAAGAAAGAAACCUGAAGAAAAGAAGUUUUAGUGAAGAUGGAAAGGCUUAAAACAUACCAUGGAGAAUGACCUCAGCCUUCUGUGUGGAGGAUUUGCACUUGGAGAUAAGGAAAGAGAGGGACUUCAGAGAGUUAAGCAGUUCAGUUUCCUUUGCAUUUCUUACAUCUGAGCAGGUGACCGGAGUGAACACUCUGGAAGCCACAGUGGAGUCCUCUGCUUGGGGCCUCUUUCUGGAAACCAGAUCAAUUCACUGAAAAACAAUUUGCAAAUGACUAGUUCAUUGAGAAGCAAGUGACCAAAACUCUAAGUCACCGAAUGACCUGCUCAUUGAUUUAUUGAAGAUUUUAUUCCAAGGUCUACUUCCCUCUGCAUUUGUGGCUGCCAUUUCAUAUGUGAAUGGGUGGGCAGUUUGCUGUCAUGCCCUUUUUGUGCAUCUCUAUCCUGACCCUGUAUGUGGUGCUGCCUUUUCCCAGGCCCCCUGCCCCUGCCCUGGCCUCUGUCUGCAAAGCAGUUGCAGCAACCUCCCUCUUGCUGUUGAAGAUACUCAUCUGAUGUCUAUUGUGAAUUGGCUGGAGCCCUUCUACAGGUUUGUUAGCGUCCCUCUGCAUCCAGGCUGAUGGUGCCUGCCAUGCUUCUACAUGCUGUUCUCUGCCACCCACCUGAGCCCAGCUAGAGUCAGUGGGGAAGUGGAGGAGCCACAUCAAAACAGUGUGUCCACCUCAGUCACCCUCCAGUGUGCAUUGACGACCAGGCAGCCAUUAGACCCAAAUGCAGCCCCACAGCAUAGAGGCAAAUGGAAAGGCCACAUAUCCUCUUUUCAUUCUCCUUCCAUGUGAGGCCCUGCAGAGCCUGGCAUCUGUCUUCAUCAUCGUGGCAUCCUCAGACUCUUUCUUCUUCCUGGAGCGAGCUGUGCUCUCUGAAGCCACUGCCUGUGUGGGAAGUACCCCAGCAUUUCUUCGCUGUUGCCAGGCAUCCCUUCCUGUCCUACCACUUCAAAUGCAUCUUUUCAUGUGUCCUUCCUGAGCACCUCUAGCAGCUGCAUGUUCCUGUUUCAGCCUCUGCCUUUCCACAGCUCCUCCAAGAUUCCUCUAUUGCAGAGCACAGCACCACCUUGCAGGAAACCUCCCAGAGGACUGUGAGGACCAUGAAGCAAGGGGCUGCAUCUUAUUCUCCUUGGUGUCUGGCCCAGCAGUGGGCCCAGGCCAGAUGCCAUUAAGAACAUUCAUGAUUCAUGAGAGGAGAUCAAAAUAUCAACAUAAACAGGAGUUUGAAAGAAGUUGAUUUCAACCCUUGUGGAUGACUAUGAGAGAUUCAAGGCUUCAGUGGAGAAUGCACCUACAGAUAUGGUGGAAACAGCAAAAGAAAUAGAAUCAGAAGUGGAGCCUGAAGAUUAAACUGAAUUGCUGCAAUCUCAUGAUAAAACUUGAACAGAUGAGGAGUUGCUUCUUACAGAGGGUUAGGAACUGUCAGAGUGUGGCUCAACUGAGAAACAACUUUCUGAGUAGAGGUGGGGAAAGAUGGGCUAAGAGGCUUCUGAGGUCAUGUGUUCACCAUCACUGAGGCACUGUGAUGUGUUAGGUGGGUCUGAACCCUCUGGCUUCAGAGAGAGUGCCUGUGGGGCACCAGGUAAUCCGAGACUGCAGCUCAGAGAUUACUCCAGCAAAGGGUCAGGUAUCCACACUGCCUCUGCUACCUGCCCGUUGGUCACUCACUCAUUGUUCUGAUGAUAAGAUCGACAGAUCACAAGAAGGGACAAGGCUCAUCCCAGGAGGAUCCAUGAUGCUUUAUGAAGACAGUCCCAACAGCCCAUCUCUGUCAUCCUCCAGACGUGCCAAGGCUGAAUCAUGGAGCAAACACAGCACAGGCUCAAGCUGAGACCCUGCCAUGUGACCUCCUAGUUCUAUGAAAUACCCUUCAACAAUGCAGAAUUGACAAACCCUCCCAGAACCUGAUAUAGAUACACAUAUUUAUUAUAUAAGUGUCUCAGUAAAGAAACAAUUUUCUGUAGUGCUUAGUAGCAGACUUCUGACUCCAUAAGAUGUUUCUAAGUAAAGGUUUCUUGGUCAAGGAAUUUGGAAAAUGCUCAUAGUGUAUAUGAUUCUAGGAGACUUUGGAAACACAUUAGUGCAUUCGGAAGCCCUGCAGUAGUCUGCCGCAUGACUUAUUCCAGCUUAUCCCUACAUUAUGGAAUGCUUUUGUCACUGAAUACCUUCAGAACGCAUUUUGGGAAAACUUUUAUAUAUUCGUGGCAACCCUGGAGAAAAAACUUAGAGGUAAAGUUCCCUCUCCGAGAGGCCAUAAUAAAUGUGAAAGUGUGGAAAAGAGCCCUCAUCCUCCACCUCCAAGGCUGGUGUUCUUGCCAGGAUACCAUCCUAUCAGUUCUUUCUAAAACUCUCCUGUCCCCAGUGCAAAUACUCUCAUCAUGACAAUGCCUCACUUCAGCAGGCCUUCUCAUGGAGCUGCAGGAGUUCUUUGCAAAGUCCCCCAGCCCUGGUCUAGGAAUUGGGAGUUGCCUCACAGAUGCUUUAUUGUUAUUACUGGUUACAUGUGUGAUAUGUAGCAUACAUAUCAACUACACCUUUAACCAAUAACUUUUACUUAUUUUUUAUUUGGAGAAUGAUAUAUGCUCAUUAAAGAAAAAUUGGGGAAAAAGUUGGUAAAUAAUGAAGAAGAAAAAUUCACUUCAACCUAGAAAUAGCCCAGUGAACAUGCUGGUGUCAAGGGUGUACAUACACAUAUACAUGUUUGCAUGUUUUGGGAACAAUUUGAAACAAUAUGCAUGUUUGUUACAGUUUUGGAACUGUAACAAAAAUGCACAGUUAUAGUUAUUUAUCAUGACCUUCCUGUUUUUCUUGCCAUGAUAGGUUGUGAAGAUGUUUACAUAUCAUUAAACACUCUUUGGGAUCAUACUUUUUUUUUUUUUUUUUGAGAUGGAGUCUCGCUCUGUCACCCAGGCUGGAGUGCAGUGGCGCGAUCUCAGCUCGCUGCAAACUCCGCCUCCCGGAUUCACGCCAUUCGCCUGCCUCAGCCUCCUGAGUAGCUGGGACUACAGGUGCCCACCACCACGCCCGGCUAAUUUUUUGUAUUUUUAGUAGAGAUGGGGUUUUGCUGUGUUAGCCAGGAUGGUCUUGAUCUCCUGACCUCGUAAUCCUCCCGCCUCGGCCUCCUAAGGUGCUGGGAUUACAGGCGUGAGCCACCGCGCCCAGCCGGGAUCAUACUUUUAAUGGCUGCACAAUGCUGCCUUGUAUGAACGUGUGAUGUUUCACUCAGCCAUUGGUGGUAGAGUCAAUGCCACAGGUUCUCCAUACCAUUUCCUCUCUCUGAGCACUUGGUAAGCCUUCAUUUCCAAAUCUCCCCUGCAGUUUUGAGUUCUGGACAAUGGUUGUGGACAGAAGUUAUGGAUGCCACUUCUGUGCCUGGAGUAUCUGUCCCCUCAUCAGCAACUGUUGGUGACAGAACCACAGAUUGGGAGCAGCCUGGAUCUAAAGAAUCACUGCUUGGGAGAACUCUGCUUAGACAUGUCCAGACUACAUCAGACAUUAAGUGAGAAAUGAACCUUUGUGUGCUGAGUACCGAAAUUUCGACGUUUACUUGUUACUGCUGGAUUGCUUAGCAUACACUAACAUGUCAUCACUCUAGUUACAUCUUUGGGUUUGUUUUCAAUUUAUAUUUUAAAAAUAGAGCUUCAGUACACAUAUUAAAGCAUAAUCUUUGUUUAUAUCUCUGACUACUUUCCUCAAAAACAUCCUGCUUUUGGGAAAAUGUGUACCAAUGCAUGCACCCCCCUCUCUGCCACACACAAAGUACUGUAUGAGAAUAACCAUCAGAUCUU
Molecule: long non-coding RNA, 4036 nt
Filed under: Homo sapiens (human)
Lineage: Eukaryota; Metazoa; Chordata; Mammalia; Primates; Hominidae
Description: non-protein coding TMEM72-AS1:10
Source: RNAcentral